GCCUACGGGAGGCAGCAGUCGAGGAUCUUCGGCAAUGGGCGCAAGCCUGACCGAGCGACGCCGCGUGUGCGAUGAAGGCCUUCGGGUUGUAAAGCACUGUCGAGGGGGAGGAAGCCGCAAGGUUGACCUAUCCCUGGAGGAAGCACGGGCUAAGUUCGUGCCAGCAGCCGCGGUC
RNAcentral lists this ribosomal RNA (175 nucleotides) under uncultured bacterium. Its description in RNAcentral is "partial 16S ribosomal RNA". It matches the Rfam family "Bacterial small subunit ribosomal RNA", at positions 337 to 522 of the family's 1533-position model. The record is from RNAcentral.